UACGGAGGGAGCUAGCGUUGUUCGGAAUUACUGGGCGUAAAGCGCGCGUAGGCGGCUUUGUAAGUUAGAGGUGAAAGCCCGGAGCUCAACUCCGGAACUGCCUUUAAAACUGCAGAGCUUGAGUACCGGAGAGGAUGGCGGAAUUCCCGAAGUAGAGGUGAAAUUCGUAGAUAUCGGGAGGAACACCGGUGGCGAAGGCGGCCAUCUGGACGGAUACUGACGCUGAGACGCGAAAGCGUGGGUAGCAAACAGG
RNAcentral lists this ribosomal RNA (253 nucleotides) under uncultured bacterium. RNAcentral describes it as "partial 16S ribosomal RNA". It matches the Rfam family "Bacterial small subunit ribosomal RNA", at positions 524 to 776 of the family's 1533-position model. The record is from RNAcentral.